CUCUCUUUACAGAGAUCCCCUUGGCUCCACAAGGAUAGAGAGUUCUUUGCUGAGAGAGUCACUGCCGCACGCUCAGAUGAAAGGUAUUCAUUCUGCUUGGCAGAGUCAUCGGUAGAGUAGCUGCUGAUCCCAGCAAGGCAGGGUGGGUGAUGGGAAGGGAUUAGAUUAGGAAGAAAAGGGAUCCUCUUGUUCUCUCACUGAGGGGACUUUAAACCUGCAGAAGCACAUCAGUGAGCGGACUAUGGAGACCCUCAUGCCCCAGGAAUGGCUCAGCUCUGGCGUAAUUCUGCAGAACAGUACAGGGGCCCGUGUGCAUGCAACCUGUGUCGAGGUCUCUGCAGGGCUGUGAACUAGAAAUCAACACUGCAGUGCCCCAAGUUCCCCAAGAAUGACGAGCAGCUCUCCAUCAAAGGAGGACAGAUUCUGCCGCUGACUGUAAGCCCUGGAAACCAGUCUGGAGGAACGCAGGUGGCUGUGGGUCUGCCAAGAAGCCAGAACACUUACUGAGCUGUGACCUGGCCAAAGCACAGCUCCACCUCCUAUCAAAGCUGAUGAUGUACCCAAGGGGAGAGGGAGAGCCUGAAGGUGAAAAAGACAGCCUCCCCAUUGACAUCACUGCAGCUGUAGUGGCAGGAGAUGGAGACAAGGAUCACGAGACUAAGUGUCAGUCAGGGUUUGUGAAAUAACAGUACAGAAGAGGAAUGCCUUCUCUAUUUGUGGGGAACACCACGGGAAAAGAAAAAGAAGGUGAUAUGGUUUGGCUGUGUCCCUACCCAAAUCUCAUCUUGAAUUGUAGCUCCCACAAUUCCCACAUGUUAUGGGAGGGACUCGGUGGAAGGUAAUUGAAUCAGGGGGGUAGGUCUUUCUCAUGCUGUUCUCGUGAUAGUGAGUAAGUCUCAUGAGAUGUGAUGGUUUUGUAAGGGAGAGAUUCCCUGCAUAAGCUCUCUUUUUGCCCACUGCCAUCCAUGUAAGACAUGACUUGCUGCUCCUUGCCUUCCGCCAUGAUUGUGAGGCCUCCCCAGUCAUGUGGAACUGUGAGUCCGUUAAACCUCUUUCCUGUAUAAAUUACCCAGUUUUGGGUAUGUCUUUAUUAGAAGCGUGAAAACAGACUAAUAUAGAAGGCCACACUAUAGCUGGGAAUGUAGGGUUUCUUUGCCAAAGUUUAUAAGAACUGAAAAUCAAAGAGCAAGAAAUAACUACUAAAUUCUAAUAAGAAAUGACAUUGGCUAUUAUUAAAACUAAAUGACAGUGUGUGCUCCUAAAUCACUCGGUAUUCCUGGCAUCUUGCAAUCUGAUAAAAUGGCACGUACACGAAAGGUUCAAUAAAAGCUUACAGAGGGG
This 1341-nucleotide long non-coding RNA is filed under the name Homo sapiens (human). Its description in RNAcentral is "HSALNT0279944". Lineage: Eukaryota; Metazoa; Chordata; Mammalia; Primates; Hominidae. The record is from RNAcentral.